UGGGGAAUAUUGCGCAAUGGGCGAAAGCCUGACGCAGCAACGCCGCGUGAGUGAUGAAGGCCUUCGGGUCGUAAAGCUCUGUCGGAGGGAACGAAUGCUCUUGAGGUUAACAGCCUCGGGAGGUGACGGUACCCUCAAAGGAAGCACCGGCUAACUCUGUGCCAGCAGCCGCGGUAAUACAGAGGGUGCAAGCGUUGUCCGGAAUCACUGGGCGUAAAGGGCGCGUAGGCGGCUUGGUAAGCGUGCGGUGAAAGCUCAGGGCUCAACCCUGAGUCUGCCGUGCGAACUGCCGAGCUGGAGCACGGUAGAGGCACAUGGAAUUCCGGGUGUAGCGGUGGAAUGCGUAGAGAUCCGGAAGAACACCGGUGGCGAAGGCGGUGUGCUGGGCCGUAGCUGACGCUGAGGCGCGACAGCGUGGGGAGCAAACAGGAUUAGAUACCCCGGUAGUCCCUGAGCGGGCUGGCAAGGCGCAU
This 473-nucleotide ribosomal RNA is filed under the name uncultured bacterium. RNAcentral's name for it is "bacterial SSU rRNA". It matches the Rfam family "Bacterial small subunit ribosomal RNA", at positions 355 to 825 of the family's 1533-position model. The record is from RNAcentral.